This 967-nucleotide ribosomal RNA is filed under the name Dolichospermum circinale FACHB-1391. RNAcentral describes it as "bacterial SSU rRNA". It matches the Rfam family "Bacterial small subunit ribosomal RNA", at positions 392 to 1374 of the family's 1533-position model. Lineage: Bacteria; Bacillati; Cyanobacteriota; Cyanophyceae; Nostocales; Aphanizomenonaceae. The record is from RNAcentral.
CAAUACCGCGUGAGGGAGGAAGGCUCUUGGGUCGUAAACCUCUUUUCUCAAGGAAGAAUGCAAUGACGGUACUUGAGGAAUAAGCAUCGGCUAACUCCGUGCCAGCAGCCGCGGUAAUACGGAGGAUGCAAGCGUUAUCCGGAAUGAUUGGGCGUAAAGGGUCUGUAGGUGGUACUGAAAGUCUGCUGUUAAAGAGCAAGGCUCAACCUUGUAAGAGCAGUGGAAACUACAGAACUAGAGUGCGGUAGGGGCAAAAGGAAUUCCUGGUGUAGCGGUGAAAUGCGUAGAUAUCAGGAAGAACACCGGUGGCGAAAGCGUUUUGCUAGACCGCAACUGACACUGAGGGACGAAAGCUAGGGGAGCGAAUGGGAUUAGAUACCCCAGUAGUCCUAGCCGUAAACGAUGGAUACUAGGCGUGGCUUGUAUCGACCCGAGCCGUGCCGGAGCUAACGCGUUAAGUAUCCCGCCUGGGGAGUACGCACGCAAGUGUGAAACUCAAAGGAAUUGACGGGGGCCCGCACAAGCGGUGGAGUAUGUGGUUUAAUUCGAUGCAACGCGAAGAACCUUACCAAGACUUGACAUCCUGCGAAUUUUCCUGAAAGGGAAAAGUGCCUUCGGGAGCGCAGAGACAGGUGGUGCAUGGCUGUCGUCAGCUCGUGUCGUGAGAUGUUGGGUUAAGUCCCGCAACGAGCGCAACCCUCGUUUUUAGUUGCCAGCAUUAAGAUGGGCACUCUAGAGAGACUGCCGGUGACAAACCGGAGGAAGGUGAGGAUGACGUCAAGUCAGCAUGCCCCUUACGUCUUGGGCUACACACGUACUACAAUGCUACGGACAAAGGGCGGCUACACAGCGAUGUGAUGCAAAUCUCAGAAACCGUAGCUCAGUUCAGAUCGAAGGCUGCAACUCGCCUUCGUGAAGGAGGAAUCGCUAGUAAUUGCAGGUCAGCAUACUGCAGUGAAUUCGUUCC